UGCUUAACACAUGCAAGUCGAACGAGACCUUCGGGUCUAGUGGCGCACGGGUGCGUAACGCGUGGGAAUCUGCCCUUAGGUACGGAAUAACUCAGAGAAAUUUGUGCUAAUUACCGUAUGAUGUCGAAAGACCAAAAGAUUUUAUCGCCUAAGGAUGAGCCCGCGUAAGAUUAGCUUGUUGGUGAGGUAAAAGCUCACCAAGGCGACGAUCUUUAGCUGGUCUGAGAGGGGUGAUCAGCCACACUGGGGACUGAGACACGGCCCAGACUCC
RNAcentral lists this ribosomal RNA (271 nucleotides) under uncultured bacterium. Its description in RNAcentral is "partial 16S ribosomal RNA". It matches the Rfam family "Bacterial small subunit ribosomal RNA", at positions 45 to 339 of the family's 1533-position model. The record is from RNAcentral.